UUCCUAAUAUAGACCCAACUACUUCGUAGGAAGGGUAACGGACAGAGCGGAGACGCCAACAGUUUGAGUUUGCUGCUUUGAAAACCACUUUUUCAUGGACACACAACAGAAUUAUGGAGCCAGUAUCACAGGUGUUAUUCCCAGAAACGAAGCAGGAAAUAUGGAAACAAGAGGCCGAUGCUACGGUCUACAUGAAUUUCAUGAAAAGUCACUGCUGCUAUGAUGCCAUUCCAACCAGCUGUAAACUGGUCAUAUUUGAUACCAAACUACAAGUGAAAAAGGCCUUUUUUGCACUGGUGGCAAACGGCUUGAGGGCAGCGCCUUUAUGGGACAGCAAGUUACAGAGAUUUGUGGGUAUGUUGACUAUCACAGAUUUCAUCAACAUCCUCCAUUGCUAUUACAAGUCCCCUAUGGUUCAAAUGUACGAGCUGGAGAGCCACAAGAUUGAGACAUGGAGAGGUGACUCAUUUCAAUACGUCUACUUACAGUGCUCCAAUCACUUCCUCAUUAGUAUCUCUCCAGAGGCAAGCCUCUUUGAUGCCAUCUAUUCCUUACUUAAAUACAAGAUCCACAGGCUGCCAGUCAUCGAUCCAGAGUCUGGAAAUGUCUUGCACAUUCUGACCCACAAAAGAAUCCUCAAGUUCCUCCACAUAUUUGGGAAGAGAGUUCCCAAGCCUGCAUUCACUGGGAAGCAGAUCCAGGAGCUUGGGAUUGGAACGUUCAGGAACAUCGCCACUGUUCAGGAAACGGCAACACUUUACGAUGCCCUCUCCAUUUUUGUGGAAAGGCGGGUGUCUGCACUACCUGUGGUCGACAAACAAGGCAAAGUGGUGUCACUCUACUCAAGAUUUGAUGUGAUUAAUCUAGCAGCCCAGAAGUCUUACAACAACCUGGACAUGACUAUGCGAGAGGCCAUUUGCAGGCGCCCGUGUUUUGUGGAGGGAGUAAUCAAGUGCUAUCCUGAUGAAACCUUGGACACCAUCAUAGACCGCAUAGUCAAAGCUGAGGUCCAUCGGCUGGUCCUGGUGGACAGGGCUGACGUGGUGAAGGGCAUCAUCUCUCUGUCUGACCUGCUGCAGGCCAUGGUCUUAACCCCUGCAGGUAUUGACGCCCUUUUGUCCUAGCACCAGGGGACAGAGGGUCCCCUCCCCUGCUUUACCGCCUGUGUAGGCUUGAUUCCUGGUCGUGUAUCCAGCCAGGAAUCAACUUGGACGUGAAGUAAGAGAUCACAAGAGGAAGUAGAAUUCCCUGGCUGUGCUGCUGUUUACAUUAAGAUGCCUUCCGUGAUCCAUGUGCUGGAAGCUGACCUUGAUACUGUAAUGAAUCUUCAUAGCUCUUUUAUAUUGGCUGCAUCUGAUCAAAUUGAUCAGCAAAUGUAUGUUUUCUCAAUGCUGUAUAUUUCUGUAUUAAAUAUUUGUAUUAAAAUUUGCUAGAGUUUUCAAUGUA
Molecule: RNA transcript, 1446 nt
Organism: Chelmon rostratus (copperband butterflyfish)
Lineage: Eukaryota; Metazoa; Chordata; Actinopteri; Chaetodontiformes; Chaetodontidae
Gene: prkag3a
Gene name: protein kinase, AMP-activated, gamma 3a non-catalytic subunit
Exons: 13
Source: RefSeq, a predicted model, not a curated record